RNAcentral lists this ribosomal RNA (492 nucleotides) under uncultured bacterium. RNAcentral describes it as "partial 16S ribosomal RNA". It matches the Rfam family "Bacterial small subunit ribosomal RNA", at positions 29 to 507 of the family's 1533-position model. The record is from RNAcentral.
AGUGAACGCUGGCGGCAGGCCUAACACAUGCAAGUCGAACGGCAGCACAGUAAGAGCUUGCUCUGACGGGUGGCGAGUGGCGGACGGGAGAGGUAUACAACGGAAUCUACUUUUUCGUGGGGGAUAAGGUAGGGAAACCUACGAUAAUACCGCAUACGACCUACGAGUGAAAGGAGGUGAUAAUCGGACCUUUCGCGGAUGAAUGAGCGGAUGUCGGAUUAGAUAGUUGGCGGGGUAAAGGCCAACCCAGGCGACGAUAGGUAGCUGGUCUGAGAGGACGAUCGCCGACACUGGAACUGAGACGCCCACCAGACUCCUACGAGAGGCACCAGACUGGAAUAUUGGACAAUAGGGGCAAGCAUGAUCCAGCCAGACCACGUCUGUGAAGAAGACCUUCGGGUUGGAAAGCCCUUUUUUUGGGAAAGAAACGCAUCCGGUUAAUACGCCGCUGUUCUGACGGUACCCAAAGAAUAAGCACCGGCUAACUUCGUG